AUUGAACGCUGGCGGAAUGCUUUACACAUGCAAGUCGAGCGGCAGCGCGGGGGCAACCCUGGCGGCGAGCGGCGAACGGGUGAGUAAUGCAUCGGAACGUACCCAGUCGUGGGGGAUAACGUGGCGAAAGUCACGCUAAUACCGCAUACGUCCUGAGGGAGAAAGCAGGGGAUCGCAAGACCUUGCGCGAUUGGAGCGGCCGAUGUCUGAUUAGCUAGUUGGUGGGGUAAAGGCCUACCAAGGCGACGAUCAGUAGCUGGUCUGAGAGGACGAUCAGCCACACUGGGACUGAGACACGGCCCAGACUCCUACGGGAGGCAGCAGUGGGGGAAUUUUGGACAAUGGGCGAAAGCCUGAUCCAGCCAUUCCGCGUGAGUGAAGAAGGCCUCGGUUGUAAGAC
RNAcentral lists this ribosomal RNA (400 nucleotides) under uncultured bacterium. RNAcentral describes it as "bacterial SSU rRNA". It matches the Rfam family "Bacterial small subunit ribosomal RNA", at positions 29 to 431 of the family's 1533-position model. The record is from RNAcentral.